ACUAGCGGGCAGUGAAAUCUUUGCUUUGUGUGCUAAAGUCAACAGUCGCUCGGUUUGAGCUCAAAUAAAUGCGGAGAUGCCUCGGCUCAGAGCAGUCGGCCNCCUCCCUUCGAGCGCUGGACGCUCCGCCGCCCGCCAGCCCGCCGCACCACAGGUAGGGAGCGCGCCCACUCGGGGGCCGCGCCCGGGUCCCCUGGGCAGCGUCCGCCCCCCAUUCCCCUCCGCGCGCCUCCCCUCCCCCAGUCAGCCCCUUUCCCUUCCAAGGGCCCCGACGCUAGGGGUUGGGGGUGGGGAGGUAGAGAAUGAGAAGCUAAGUCGGUGAAGACCCUGGAGUUUGGAAGGUGGCCUAUUUGUGCGGGGAUUUCUGAGAAUACACGGUGUGGGUGGACGACGGGGCGAAGAGCUGCAAACAGACUCAAUCUGGGCUCUGAGCACAUAGAGUUGGGUUGGGGCCCCGAAGCUACGGGAAGCCACUACAGGCUUCUGCAGCCCAUCCGGGGUGAGGACUCGAUCCGACAGACGCGCGUUUCCCAAGGACAGUGAGGGGGUAGGGGAUGGGGGAACGCCCUUGGCCCCAGAGUCAGGGGUGGAGGCAGCGGAAAACGGCAUGCUGGUAUCCCGUGGCUGCAUCGGCAGAGGCCCGAGAGUGGCGAAGCCCUCCCCGCCUUCCCCGGCGCGCAGGGGUUCUAGUCUGGUCUAGGCGUUUCCCUAGAAGCCCACAGACCGGGCAGCAUUGGGGUCAACGCCUCGAGGCAGCAGGAUUGGGACAGGGCCUUCCCCGAGAAAGGAGUAUAUUUUCGUUCUCGCUGCAAGAAGCGGCGGGUGCCCUUUACGCACAGAAGCGCACGGCUGCAGUUUCGGGAGCCUCGGGGGUUACAAGCGGGGCCCAGCGGGGGAAGGGUGGAGAGAGAAACGCGCCACCGGGCAAUUAAUCCUCAUUCUCCCAGAGGCUGGCCCCGGGUAGGGGCGCGCUGCGGUGCGGGAGGAGAGGAGUUUGGAGGACCACACAGAACCAAUUGCAUCUUUCUCCCGCCUGUGGGAAGGCACCAGCUUGGAAAACUAGAAGUUCCAAAGCUGCCAGUUGUAACUGCAGGAUCGUCGGGUAUCGAGGCCAGGGUAUGGGGUACUGAGAAGGCGUGUUUCUUCUGGGAUCUUCCAGGUGUCCCCUGAAAUUAGCAUUCCCCUGGAGGUGUUUACUUUAAAGGGCUAGACAUCCCGCCUUGUUUGAAGCCCGCGCAGACUUCUAGGUAUUUCACCAGGCGGGGAGACAAGCGCUCUUUCCGUCCUCCCCGCGGUCACCAGAUCCCGGGACCCAAGGGGCAGAAAUAGGAAUCGAUCCCUGUAACUGGCAGGGUCAGUUAUGUGGGCACCUCUGUGUGGGGACCAUGCCCCCCUCCCCGUCUUCCCUGGCAUCCGGGACCGCGCACCUUUGUCCGCGCACCGGAGGCCGCUUGGGGAGCGCACCCGCCGCCCUCCAAGCCGCGGUUCCGGCUGGCGGCUAGUUAUCUUCCCUAAACAAGAUGGAACGCCUGCAGGACACACGCCUAGGCUAAUCGUUUUUAAAUAAUUAAUGCCUCCCCGUUCCGCUGGUAAUGCGCGGCCUCGAAUCCGUCAAUUACUUGUCAUUAGACGAGUGUCGCCCCACGGCCUUCCCUCGGGCCUUUGAUGGCGCCCGGUCACCCAGCCCAGCCCACUCACGGCCGAAUGAAAAAGUGCCCGGCCUUGAAGAGCCGGGUGCGGAGUAGCCACGGCCCUCGAUUCAGUGCGAGUUUUGAAAGAAAGACCUUAGUUGAAGAGAUGUAAUCUUCCAAAUGGCCAAUUUAAACGCCUGAUCUUUAUCGCCCGCCUUCUCCCGGCUUUAUAAAGAAAAGCCGGUCCUCAGUGUUUUGGGGGCCUUUUAAUGUGGGGGUGGGGCGAGGAGAAGCGAAAGAUGAGGCUUAAUAGGGCACGGGGCAGGUGUUUGCUCAAGAAGGUUCCUGGAGGCACCUCGGGGUAACUAGUUUUCUAGCGCAUCCUUCUAAGCAUCAGGGGCCUGGACCAAGUACUGGCUGCCGGCUUUGAAGGCCGGUGCGCCGGGACAAGUCUUCUGGAAUGUAUAAACCAGAACCGUCCGGAGAAAGCGUCAGGACCUUUUCAGGCAGUGCAUCUUCACCCUUCAAGAGGUAAUAGGACCCCCCACCCACCAUGGGCCUGACAUCACAGAACAGUGGUGCCUGUUGAUGCCCAGGGACUUGUAGGUACCAAGUCCUGCCGCCCAGAAGAGGCGCCCAACAUACACGCCUUAGAGGCACCAUCCCAAAUUUGCUGUCCCUGUCGUAGCACAAGAGCUUGAUUUCAGACCCCAAAUGCCUUUGCUGGGUCAGGGACACUGUGGAGACCCGCCUUGGCCACAGCACCAUGGCCAGCCAAGGGGUGGUGGAAUGAAAUUAAAAUGAAAACGAAAACAGAAGAGAAAAUUUCCCCAAAGUUUGCUACUGAUUUCAUUACGUUUCUGCUGCUCCCUAUCCCCCCCAUCAAAGGUGUUUUUUGUUUGUUUGUUUUUGUUUUUGUUUUACAGUAAAUAAAUUGUCAAGGUUUCAGAACCUUACAUGCCUCCUUGGAGCAAAAACCAUGUGCUGUAUCUGCACCACUCUCAGCUUUACAGAUCACAAGUUUCUCAUAACCUCAACUCCCAGGAAUGGUUUGCCUCUAAGAAGAGAAUAGAAGACAUGAGGGGUGGAGGGGGAAGAAAUCAUGAGGAGAGUGGGAGAAACUUUUUAAACAUAUAGAGAGAUGGAGAAAGGGUGAUUGGAACGUGCCUGUGUGCCUGGUUGUCCCCAGAGGACCCUGGGCUGUACUUUAGGCCUUUGACUUCAGACCUACAGCCUUUCUAGAGCAUUCCACAAAGAUUGGAAUUUUUUGAAAAAUUCCUUUUUGAUGAGAUUCACCGGAUAUGGGCAGGAAGUUGCAGGCACCUCCAGAGACAAGCAAACACAAAUUACACGGAAUAGAUAUAUGUCCCCACUGGAGCUCAGCAGGGUCCCCACCUCCAGGCAAGCUUGGUUUCUUCUCCCUUUGACAAAACUCCCAGGGAGCGCCCUACCCCGGAGCUCUCCAGGGGUUGCCUCGGAAGCCUAAAUCCUGGGGCAUCUUCCCCAUUCUGUUCACAGCCUUCCUGCCCACUCUCUUAUCCUUUUUCUCCUUUCUUCUUUAAAACAAUCAUGUGUGUCCCCCCCUUGCCCCCUCUCGCCAUUGUAUUUGUUGAUGACCUAACACGCUCACACCAAAAGCCACACACAGAAAACCAACAACGUGGGAUGGGAGGAGAGACCAAUUAUGAUUGAGGCUAACAAGCGGGGAACACCCAAGUUGAGGCCGGCUGUCUCCUGGGAGACUGAUGGAGGCUUAUUUUACAAGCUGUCAUUCCGUCCUGGUCCCUAUUGCCAGAUUGGAGGUGAUUCCUAUUCUCCCCUCCCCCUCAGCCCCUGCACCCUUGGGGCUUAUUCCAGAUUCUUUGUAUAUCCUCUGCAGAAGCAGCCCCCCAAGUCCCUCUCCUGCACAGGUGGAAAGAGCAGCACAUCCUCACAACAGCAUGCCUAUUUUUCACAUCAGUGAUUGUUCCUGAGAUUUCUGAGCUCAUUGCCAGCAAGAUGUGGACUGGUCAGAUGUCACUGUCACACAUGCCCCGUCCUCCUCACCAGGUUCCCAUUAAAAGGCAUUGACUACUUACCCUUUACACUCUUCCCCUCUUCCUGCCUCUUCCUCUUUUGCCCCUCCUACUCCUUCUUUUUCUAUCCCCCCUCCCACCACCACCAAAGAAGGAGGGAUAUUUUACUGUCAGAUAACACAACUGAUAGCUGGGAAUGCUAAAAGAAGCAAUACAAAUUAAGUUGCUUUCAUUCAUCCAAAACUAGAGGUCUCACAUUCUCAUUAGAGUAACUGCCUGGGGUUUACUCCUCUCUUGAAGCUAAUUAGAGGCAGUAAUAUUCCCUCUGAUGUCAGGACAUCAUUCGAGCAACAUCAUAUUUAUUUAACUUUAACAUAUCAAAUUAACUGAGAGGGGAAAUUUCAGCAUCACCGACAUGGGUGAAGAAGAAAUGCUCGAGUACAAUGCCAUUAGAACCUCGGAAUGAGAGAUCUUUGCUGUGGUUUAGUUCCCCUUGCAGAAUGGGUUCUGCUUCUGCUUGCUUAAGUGGUUGAGGACCAGACUUCCUUCACAGGUAAAUCAGCUCUUCCAUCGUUUCAUUUAUCUGAAAAGAGUAAAACCACAAAGUUCAAGAGUAAGCAGGAAGGUUUUUGGACCAGGGUUGGUAAUGACCCCAGCAAAUCAAAAUAAGAUUGUGUGUGUGUUUUGACUUGUUAUUUCAUUAGAAAGACGAUCUCAGUUCAUUAGCUGUUCUUUUUUUUCACAAAGCACAAGUAAUUAUACAGUGGAUUUUGUUGGGAAAAUUUUGCUCAUGUGAAAAAGGACACACAUUUCUAAUUUGAAGACAUGGAUGUUAAGAGCAUAUUAUUGGAAGAGGAAACAUAAUACUGAGAAGUGUCUGGAGAAGGCUUGAGAAGAGUUAAGGCAUGAAGUGGGUGGCUGGAGUACUGGGAAGGGCAGAGGAUGAUUAUGUGUCAUUUUCCAUGAAGGAACAGGGUGACAUGUCAGCUAGGGCAGGACCUGGAUCAUAAGAACUUCUAUAUGGAGACAAAUUAGGAUGUAAUAUGUGGACCCCCCUGGUACAAAAAUAUGCAACCAUCUGCUCAAACUUUCUGCUUGCUUUGUCUUCUAAAGCCUAAGCUAAGGAAUUUAAAACAAAAAAAGACCAAUCCAUUAUAUAUUUUUCAUUUAGUCUGCAAUUCUCUAUUACAUUGAACCGAGCUGUUCACACACAGAAGUUGUAACUUCAACUGCUUGUUAGCUGAGAAAAUGCAUCCUCUAUGCAGAAGAGUCCAUUUUUUUGGCAAAACUUUUGCCUUUCAUUCUUCCUUCUUGGUGUUUCUCAUCUCCCGCUGCCCCCCCCCCCCCCGCCCAAGUCCCUACCUCUCUUUUCUUUAUCACAAUUGUAUUCACUUCAACCACCAUUGAGUAGGGUCCCACAUGUGCCAGACAAUGUGCUAGGUGUCUUCAUAAACAUGACUUCAUUUAAGCUUCCCCACAUCCCACUGGUAGAUGACAGAAUUUAUGGGAGAUGGACCUGGGGCGGAGAGAAGUUAGGGAACUGCUCAGAUUUCAGAGCUCACCACUGAACUCAAGUCUUGCAACUCUAUGUUUUUUUCAACUUCUUUUGGCCUCCUAGCGGGGGGGGGGGGGGGGGGGUGGUGCACAGACCUCUUUGAUUCAAAUGCAGUAGGAAACCUGCUUCUCCACAACCCCCAACUUUUCACUGUUGGGUGUUGUUGGUAGAGGGGAGGCUGAAUGUUAGGAGAAAGGUGAUAAGAAACAGGAAGAUCUCAGGAAGAAGGAUGGCGGAGACUCCACCUGCUAUCCUAGAAGGGAUUAGGAUGCAUUAUGUCUGGGAUCAGGCUGGAUUCUUAUUUUCUCUUUUGGAGCAACACAGUGUAUUCCUAUGUGACGAUGGUUUCUCAAAGCUGGCCAGAGGUUCAAUCAGAACUGGACCACAACUGCACCACCACUGAAGCUGCUGUAGCCGGCUGGCUAAUGCUGUAGGGGAAGAGAAAGGGAGAGAAUCAGCAGCCUGUGAUUAAAAAGAGAAAAUGCCGGGGAAGAGGGGGAAAAAAUGUCAGGGGCAGAAACAAUGACCUGGCAUCCGGGCUUAAAUAAUGCACAUAGCCCAAUUAUUUCUUGAGGUGUAGCCUGCCGGCCGUAUUCCUUACUGAGAAUUCUGGAGCAGAGGCCAGGAAUGUUCUGAGAGACUCCUGCUUCUGACCUCCCUCUGACCCACACCUGGUGGCCUAACCGCACAGGUGACAGCACAGCUGGAAUGCACGCACCGCCCACAGCUGGGCUUCAGGGCUGCCCUCGCCCCAGCACCAGCUGCAAGAACAGCAAAAGGCCCCAGCCCCCACAGCAUUCCUCCCCCACCCUGCCCCCGCUGUCCACAUAUACACAAAUUCAGAUCCAGAUAAACACCUGCCUCAGAGGUUUGCCACUGAACGGGUGCUGGCCCAGGAGGACCAGCCUGCUUCUGUCACAGAGGGAGGAUAGGAUGUGACCCAGCACUCAGUAGGCCUGCAGUCUGAGAGGAGAGCACACCCCAGCCAAGUUUCAUGUCUGAGCUGCACAUGGUACAUGGAUGUGCAGGGAAUGCUGGCUGAUACCUGCUUGUGCCAGGCCCUGGGGACACAAUGUGGAAUGAACAGGGCCCUCCUGGACACAGGCUUGGACUGGAGGCCUCCUUUUCUUUUCCACUUACUGAAAGAUAAGUUCCCUGGGUGUCCAUGGUUUUUAGUGGUGUGGAGUUUCCUGUAUACUUAGCAUCUUCCAUUUCGGGAUUUGUGGGGAGGCUCUGGACAACUGGAUUCUAAGGCCAGUGCCACACAAAAUGAUGUGUAGGGCAUGGGAAUAACUGACUCUUGGAAGUACACAAAGUUCUAGAUUAAACCAUACUUUUCACUCCAAACUGGACAAUUGCGAUGUUAGGUUGAGGUGGAGACGAUGCAUCCAGAAUGACAGUUACCCACUCUCAGGUUGAGUGCUGAGCUUCCUAGAGACUGCCCGAAAAGGGCAGUCAUCCAAUCUUCUGGCUGUUUAUGGGGACAAGUAGGGGCAGACAUCCAAUCUAUAUUUUGUCCAUCCUCCAUUUAAUGACCACUCCCCUCCCACCAGCAGUUUGCCAAUUAAAGGCCAAUCUCUCUUGAUUUCUUUGCUUUAAAAGGACAUUUCGAUUCAUGCAGCCAAACAAUUAAAUCCCCCUCUUGCCUCUCCCUUCCCAGAGCUCACGAACAAGAUGCUUCCCUAUCUCUUGCCAGCAUUGAGCAGUGGGAAGGAGCUGAUCUCAGGUGCUAACCUGAAGUUAUCAGAAUGCCAGACUCAUUUAGGGAGCUCAACUCUGGAACCCGAGGCGAUCCCUUCAUUGAUUGUGGAAAGCGCUGUUUAGAUUUUGUCAUAGCUCAGUAAACAACCAAAAGUAACUGCGGGAUUUCUGUCUUACAUUCAGCUGAAUCCCUCUCUUUCUCGCGCGCUCUCUCUCUCUCUCUCUGUCACACACACACACACACACACACACACACACACACACACACCACAUACACUCCUCCUCUCCCACAGGCUCCUGUUAAUCAGGAAGGGAUAGUCAGACCAAGGUCCUUUAAGAACACCCUCAUCUAACUCUCCAGCAGCUGAAUCUUUUGUAGGGGAGAGCUACACCUUUCUCCAAGAACUCACAUCUCUCCCAAAAGGCACAGCCUCCCGAGUUCCUAAGUCUGUAGCGAAAGCUCUUGAGAAAGGGUUGUGCCUUUGGGCCCCUUACUCUGCCAUCUCUGAAAGCCCCCACCUGGCUAAAAGACUUGCCAGGGACUUGGCCUCUGUGGCCUCCCUUCCCCCACCCCAGUGCUUCCCUGAGAUCCGGGUUGUCUUUCAUGAGCUUGUUGCAGCUCAGACCCAGCUGCACAAAACUGAGGGUGAGGGGUGGAUUCCCUGUCUGCAAUGCUGGGGCGCUGCUUCUGGGCUGGGCAACACGGUCCUGGAUACAGAUCUCUUUGGGGGUAAAGGCGAAUUAAAUUGGCAAGCUCUACUCUGAUACUCAAACUUCUGCAGUUCUUAGCAAGAUCCCCAUUUAGGCCUCAAUUACUAGUAGAAAAAGAGAAAGAUGCUUCCUAUUGUCCACAAUUUGCCAUUCUCUGAAUAGACCAUUUGUUUUAAUUAGGUCCCCUUCAUUUAGUUCUAUCUGCGGGAGCAGGUUUGCUCUGAAGUGAUUGUGUUGAACGUGCGCACUCUGCCAUCUAUUUGUGUAAAAUAAAUAGAAAGACAUAAUUGCCAGUCAUCACAAUAUAAAAGAUUAGUGCAAAUCCUAAACAAUGAUCAUUUAAAAUUCAAUAAUUCUUAGAAAAAGGAGUCAAAUGAUAAAGCACAGUUUCCCCGAAGGUGUUAGACACAACGGGCCUGCAAUGGAUGUGUGUUUAAAAAUUAAGAAACUUUUUUUCCCCUAAGUUGGUACUAUUUCAAAUGAAAUUCUUUUCUUAUUUGUUUAGAAUGCCUUUCAUAUGAAAAAAAAUUCAAAUCAGAUCACCUCAACUUAAAAUACAGGUCUUCAAUAUUAGCCAGCCUCAAGCAGAAAGCUUUCUAAAAGUCUUGCAAAUCUAAUCCCUGGUUCUAUUCUUCCCAAGAUGCCAAAAUUCUAAUAUCUUUUAUUUUUUAAAGUCCCUAAUUUUGUCUGUGACCUCUCCAAUCUUAGAAAAAUCGGGGGGGGGGUGGAGAAAACAAAUACAGUAAUGUGUAAAUUCUUAGGACUUAAGAUAGGGAUGUAUUCCACAGUAUCGAAAGUUCCACAACAUUUUGCACAUUAAGCAAUUUUUUUUUUUAAACAAGGGGUAGCUCUUGCAAUUAGAUUGCUAUUUUAUUAUACAAGGUACAAACCAAUAAAGUAUGCCAUUUCUUUUCCCCUUCCCUUUUCCUAGUACAAUUUGGGAAGGAGGGUAAAAUGCAUUUUGGGUUUUGAUAUAUUUAUUUUGUGCCAACCAUCUGCAUAUUUCAUGAGGCUCAACUAUUUCUCUGCACAAUGUACGGUCUAUUCUGUGUCCUGAGGAAACGAAAGAAUAACAGACUGCCGGUCCCUCGACCACUUGUGUUACUCUUCAGUUCACAGUAUUCUAGCUCCAUUGUUAUCGAUAGUCCUAUUUUGUUAAAUAUCAGCUUGGCUAUGAUGAAAGCUAAUUAUGCAAUUCCACUUCAUUUCUGCCUCUAAAUUUUAUACUUGAUAAAAUAGCUCAAUGAUGCUAAUUAAAUUUCUGCUUACAAAGAUGAUUUCUUUGUAUUUCUCAAGGUUUGGCUUUCUGGCUAUGAAAUUUACACUAAAAACAUUUCUGGGGGUAGCAAAUAUAUUGAUCAUUUUUGGAUUAAGACUGUUAAAAUAUAUAUUUCAAAUGUUUCUGAGUUAGAAUAGAUCUUAUGUAGAAGAGGGAUUUGUUCUAUUUACCUCUUUCCUUUGUGCAACGUUUGUGCAGAUCCCCCCACACCUGGGAAGUAGUUUAGAUAUUUUGUAAUAGUUCACUACCUCUGGAGCCCAGGCAAAGCCGUGCUAAAUUUUGAAAAAUAAUUCGGGAGACACUCGCAGAUAUUGGGACACAGGGUGUAUGUAACCUCCCAUGGCUGAGACAAGCGAAAUGAUGUUUGGUGCAAGGGGCGAAAAACACGACCUAACAGUGUUUACAUGUGUAUUCAGCCAUGAAAUUGAAUAUUAUCAAAGUUGAAAAAUGCAAAUCAAAUUAAAACCAUGGAAAAUUGUCUUUGGAAUUACAGCGGCCUCGAGACCCCAAGUGUUUGCUUAAAUUGAAGCGUUUAGAAAAUGAAAAACCCUAAAUUGCCCCCUUCUAUUCCCCCCCACCCACACUCCCCCGCCGUAUGAAAUUUGUUCUUUAAUUCUACCAGAAAUGUGUUGAGGCUCAGCCAUCAAUCCUUCCUCCUUGGCAUCAAUCACACUGAAAUAGAACUUUUUCUUAGAAAUUAAUUGUCUCCCUUCACUUAGUGUCACUAAAAUCGGACGUGCUUCAGAAACUGAGCGGCACCGCUUUUCUUCCGAAAUGAGCCCCACACCACAGGCUGCCAGGUUCUUCUCCCUGUAAGUGCCGCUGCCGAGCCUAAGCCACCCAACCUAUACGCUGCGGGCGCUGCUGGCGCUGGUCCGGGAGGGCGGCGGGCGGCGGGGCUGGGGGCCCCGGCCCCACACACGCUUGGCGCAGCCGGGGCUACCGGGCCGCUGGGUCUGCGGAGUAGCGGGCCAAGCCCCGGAGCCUUCGCGCUCAUUCGUUGCGCUUUCCUACGUCGGGGAAGCCUGAAAUAUGGAAACGUGGCACUUUGCUUCGCUAACGCAGGAGUUCCCAGGGUCUUGAUGGAGAAAGACCAAAAGAGGAAGUGUCAAAAAUCUACUUUUUAGAAGUGAGACGUCUAAAAAGUAAUAAGCAGGGGUGGCAGGGCGUGCGGGGGCGGGUCAUUCUUGCCUUUUUCCAAGUUCUAAAGCGCAGGAAACACACGCUUAGAGGCCAACCCAUCAGAUGGGGCCAAUCUCACCCCCAGUCGCCUGGGUGCUGCAAACUUUAGUCCUCUCCCGCCCCUCCCCCAUUUCUCUCCAGCCUGGGAGAAAACCAGCGCGCCAGCCGUUCUCCAGUAGAUGCCAAAUGCGGCCGCGUUCGGAGAGAGCCCGCAGAGCCCUAGUGGCGCAGCAGGAAGUGCAGGUGGAACCGCCGGCGGCGCUCUGCGCGGACCCGGCCUGGGAUCAAGGGUGGCAGCCGGACCCAGGUCGGGUGGAAGCCGGACCCAGGCAGGCGCGCCCACAGAGUUAAUAGGGACUGUGGGGACGCUGGGGAUGCCGGCAAUGGUUAGGUUGUGCUGGCGUGGCCUUGGAAAACUUUCAUCUCAUUUGAUGACCCUCGAGGAUAUUCAUUCCCCACCCUCCCCAACCUGCCUUCCUCUAGUUUGAACAUCCAUCCACCUGGGCAGGUCCGGGAUGGCCAAGGGUGGUCUGGCUUUUUCUCCCAUGGGGAGCAGAGACAAGCGGUGGCCUCCGCGUCACGCAGUCCUCCCUCCGGACCUCCAGCUCAGCCCUUGUAGAUUUGAAGGGCUGAGGCUGUUGCAGAAAUGCAGUAAAUCCAGUCCUACGAACCCAGAUAGGAGCGGGAUGAAGAGUAGCGGAAGCCAAUUUAUAUUUGAAGCCUACCUCUUUAUUGCCUUUCCAUGGAUCAACACUAGCUUUAUUUCCGUUCCAGGGAUCAAGACUAGCUCAACUAUGGCUGAGAAAACAACCCAUGUUCCCCAGAGUUUAAAACCUGCCCAUAAGUUGUGGUCGUGUUUUGGAGAUUCGGGAUCCUAUUUCCAAGGAGAGUUGUCCGGGGCGUGUUUAUGUUUGUUAUUUUCAAAACCAAGCAAAGGAAACAGCAGCCAAUUAAAAUGAAAUAUUUUUAUUUGCCUCCAACGUUGUCAGUGAUUUGCCCCCUGGGGAUCCACAAUUUUCCCAAGCCUGUUAACGGGUGACAAUGAAUGAGUGCCUCGUGUAAUUUAAUUUUCCUGUCACACUAAAUAGAGCUACAUUGUAAACCUUAGAUCUACUCUUACUGAUAGGAUCGCCUUGUUUUGCCAUUUGCACCAUAAAGACCCCCAAAAGGGAC
RNAcentral lists this long non-coding RNA (11247 nucleotides) under Lynx pardinus (Iberian lynx). Lineage: Eukaryota; Metazoa; Chordata; Mammalia; Carnivora; Felidae. The record is from RNAcentral.